CCUAUCCUCAAAACUGUACCAUCUUAUAAAAAUGAUAAGAAUUAACAUGUGAAAACCUUACACAAACUUUUUUUUUAAACAGUUUAAGGUAACAAUAACAGAGCAGGACACUGGAAUAAAUGAUCAACAGCAACAUUUUAUAAAGGAAGAAAUAGUUUCUUGAAGGAGGUAAUCCCAUCAGAUUCAUAUUGAACAUCUUCUCAAAUGUGAUCAUCUCUGAAGUUUAUCUGCAUGUGUGUACCUCUGGAAGGUGCUGUCAAUACAUUUGGGAAAAGGGAAUGAGAAGCUUGACUUGUUCUCUUGUAUGCAAUAGAAACUGUGAAAUUGAU
Molecule: long non-coding RNA, 329 nt
Filed under: Callithrix jacchus (white-tufted-ear marmoset)
Lineage: Eukaryota; Metazoa; Chordata; Mammalia; Primates; Cebidae
Description: lncRNA (ENSCJAG00000080426.1)
Source: RNAcentral